Drosophila persimilis is the source of this 245-nucleotide long non-coding RNA. RefSeq lists it as uncharacterized. The record is from RefSeq and is a predicted model, not a curated record. The transcript has 2 exons. Lineage: Eukaryota; Metazoa; Arthropoda; Insecta; Diptera; Drosophilidae.
UUGCAUUCUGGCAUUUGGCGAGUGCGAAACGAUGAAGAUUAAGGCAGCGAUUCUCCUCUUUGUGAUUUCUCUGGCCAUGGCUGCAGGCAUCGUGGCCCCGGACUGUCCCAGGUGGUCCAAGUGCUGGAAGGAUUACCAGCACGGCAGGAUCAUUUACCGCUAGUCUGUACCAGGCACAUAUACUAAGAAUAAUUUAUGCCUAAUCAUAGCCCCAUUAAAGCCUUUUUCCAUUACGCCUAAUUAAA